Molecule: ribosomal RNA, 1343 nt
Filed under: uncultured bacterium
Lineage: Bacteria
Description: 16S ribosomal RNA
Rfam family: Bacterial small subunit ribosomal RNA
Source: RNAcentral
GACGAACGCUGGCGGCGUGCUUAACACAUGCAAGUCGAACGGAAAGGCCCUGCUUUUGUGGGGUGCUCGAGUGGCGAACGGGUGAGUAACACGUGAGUAACCUGCCCUUGACUUUGGGAUAACUUCAGGAAACUGGGGCUAAUACCGGAUAGGAGCUCCUGCUGCAUGGUGGGGGUUGGAAAGUUUCGGCGGUUGGGGAUGGACUCGCGGCUUAUCAGCUAGUUGGUGGGGUAGUGGCUUACCAAGGCUUUGACGGGUAGCCGGCCUGAGAGGGUGACCGGCCACAUUGGGACUGAGAUACGGCCCAGACUCCUACGGGAGGCAGCAGUGGGGAAUAUUGCACAAUGGGCGGAAGCCUGAUGCAGCAACGCCGCGUGCGGGAUGACGGCCUUCGGGUUGUAAACCGCUUUCGCCUGUGACGAAGCGUGAGUGACGGUAAUGGGUAAAGAAGCACCGGCUAACUACGUGCCAGCAGCCGCGGUGAUACGUAGGGUGCGAGCGUUGUCCGGAUUUAUUGGGCGUAAAGGGCUCGUAGGUGGUUGAUCGCGUCGGAAGUGUAAUCUUGGGGCUUAACCCUGAGCGUGCUUUCGAUACGGGUUGACUUGAGGAAGGUAGGGGAGAAUGGAAUUCCUGGUGGAGCGGUGGAAUGCGCAGAUAUCAGGAGGAACACCAGUGGCGAAGGCGGUUCUCUGGGCCUUUCCUGACGCUGAGGAGCGAAAGCGUGGGGAGCGAACAGGCUUAGAUACCCUGGUAGUCCACGCUGUAAACGGUGGGUACUAGGUGUGGGGUCCAUUCCACGGGUUCCGUGCCGUAGCUAACGCUUUAAGUGCCCCGCCUGGGGAGUACGGCCGCAAGGCUAAAACUCAAAGGAAUUGACGGGGCCCCGCACAAGCGGCGGAGCAUGCGGAUUAAUUCGAUGCAACGCGUAGAACCUUACCUGGGUUUGACAUGGAUCGGGAGUGCUCAGAGAUGGGUGUGCCUCUUUUGGGGUCGGUUCACAGGUGGUGCAUGGCUGUCGUCAGCUCGUGUCGUGAGAUGUUGGGUUAAGUCCCGCAACGAGCGCAACCCUUGUUCACUGUUGCCAGCACGUUAUGGUGGGGACUCAGUGGAGACCGCCGGGGUCAACUCGGAGGAAGGUGGGGAUGACGUCAAGUCAUCAUGCCCCUUAUGUCCAGGGCUUCACGCAUGCUACAAUGGCUGGUACAGAGAGUGGCGAGCCUGUGAGGGUGAGCGAAUCUCGGAAAGCCGGUCUCAGUUCGGAUUGGGGUCUGCAACUCGACCUCAUGAAGUCGGAGUCGCUAGUAAUCGCAGAUCAGCAACGCUGCGGUGAAUACGUUCCCGGG